CCUACGGGAGGCAGCAGUGGGGAAUAUUGGACAAUGGGGGGAACCCUGAUCCAGCCAUGCCGCGUGUGUGAAGAAGGCCCUCGGGUUGUAAAGCACUUUCAGUGAGGAAGAACGCCUGGUGGUUAAUACCCAUCAGGAAAGACAUCACUCACAGAAGAAGCACCGGCUAACUCCGUGCCAGCAGCCGCGGUAAUACGGAGGGUGCGAGCGUUAAUCGGAAUUACUGGGCGUAAAGCGCGCGUAGGUGGCUUGAUAAGCCGGUUGUGAAAGCCCCGGGCUCAACCUGGGAACGGCAUCCGGAACUGUCAAGCUAGAGUGCAGGAGAGGAAGGUAGAACUCCCGGUGUAGCGGUGAAAUGCGUAGAGAUCGGGAGGAAUACCAGUGGCGAAGGCGGCCUUCUGGACUGACACUGACACUGAGGUGCGAAAGCGUGGGUAGCAAACAGGAUUAGAUACCCUAGUAGUC
RNAcentral lists this ribosomal RNA (465 nucleotides) under Vreelandella stevensii. RNAcentral describes it as "partial 16S ribosomal RNA". It matches the Rfam family "Bacterial small subunit ribosomal RNA", at positions 338 to 795 of the family's 1533-position model. The record is from RNAcentral. Lineage: Bacteria; Pseudomonadati; Pseudomonadota; Gammaproteobacteria; Oceanospirillales; Halomonadaceae.